UUUUAAGCAAGUUUUGAGAUCAAAGCAAUCAAUCCCCAAGGUCUCAUUGUGAUUUUUGAAAGAAUAAGAUGGAUGCCAAAUGUCUUAGAGAAGGAGCAGUGGGGACAGUAGAUGCCAUGAAUACCGCAGUUCUUCUUUCAGAAUAGGCCGCUUUUGACUCAGCUGUGAAGGAAUGGUCUGCUGUUGUGAUAAAAAGGCUUCAGAAUAGACAAUGGUAAAUAUCACAUGACCUUGCGAAUGGCGGUUUAGUUAGCGAAGAGCUAAAUGGAUCAGACGGUUAAUUACAUGUAUUAAUUAUUAAUACAUGUAAUUUCUUUGAAAAGUGGAUUAGCUGUAAAUACUGCAAAGAGCUAAAGACCAACAUUUUAAUUCAGCAACAUGUUCAUUGGCUAGUGAACCAGCCGCUCCACAGGCCAAUCCAUAUUCCCACCCAAGAAUCUAGGCAAUCCAUAUUUAUAAGAAGGAAUUGGGUGGCUUCUGACUAGUAUCUUGAUAACGUAUUUCUUUAAGCAUUUUGCUACAUAAAGACUUUUCAUGAUGGCUGACAGAUUUACACUGGAAGAUGCAUGGGUGUCUUGUAUCUCUACGAAUCUUUGUUAUGUGCAUAUAAAUUGAGUUGUGGGUUUGAA
Long non-coding RNA from Hevea brasiliensis (rubber tree), 629 nucleotides. RefSeq lists it as uncharacterized. The transcript is spliced from 2 exons. NCBI's taxonomy places the organism in Eukaryota, Viridiplantae, Streptophyta, Magnoliopsida, Malpighiales, Euphorbiaceae. The record is from RefSeq and is a predicted model, not a curated record.